UUUGAGUAGAAAUUUCAUCUCCCAUGUGGUGUGGCUGGCCUUGUGUCUGUUAAACUCUUUUUCUACUACAGUGUCGUGGUCUUUCUUUAUGCAGUGGGCAGGAAGAACCCCUCAGGCAAUUAUGCUGUGAUUAAGCCGUGCUUUCUUAAAGCUUUGUGAACAACUUAAACUUUAGAAGAAAAUAAUGGCAGCCUAUUUACGUACCUAAACCACUUUCAUACCUGCCUACUGAUGUAUGGACUUCAGAGUAACAUGACCUGUAUGAAUUUUCCAGGAUUGUUCUUCAUUGUUUGUUUGUUUGUUGUUGUUUUUCUUCUUCCCUCCCCCUAUUUUCUCUUUGUAGAAUGUGUGACUUUACAAUCUGCUAAAAAUGAGCUUUCCUAAUAAUGUGGGACCUACCCGUCUAGGAAUAAACCAUCCUAGCCAUGAGAGAUCAGACAAAACCUCAGCCCAAAGACUCAUUUUCCUCUAAAAUGCUUUCUUUGAAAGCUUUUUAAAAAGAAAAGUGGGGAAAUGCAAAAGGAAAAUAAACCUCAGUUCCCCCAAAUCACUAAGCCAAAGGGAAAAGUCAGACUGGGUACUGUGGGCAUACUUGCCUCCCACUCUAUUCCUAAAUAAGAUAGCUACAAAGAUUAAAAAAAAAAAAAAAAAAGCUACAUACCUCCGUCACAAUUUGCCCACGGGAAAAUUCCUUGUGGAUAAAAAGCAGAACUCAAAGUCAUCCCUCUGUUAACAUGAUACAAAUGCAUAUCUGAUUGCUUCCUUGCUCCAUUAUUUCACUAAGCUAGACUAAGGCAUAAGUGACUGUUCCUGUAAAUUGUGUAUUCAGUGAAAGGCUGAUCAGAAACUAAAAAUAAUGCAACUGUUUAUGUCUUAUCUACCUAUGACCUGGAAGCCCUCUCCCUGCUUUGACUUGUCCCACUUUUCUGGACUGAACCAAUGUACGUCUUACAUAUAUUGAUUGAUGUCUCAUGUCUCCCUAAAAUGUAUAAAACCAAGCUGUGUCCCGACCACCUUAGGCACAUUACUUCAGGACCUCCUGAGGCUGUGUCAUAGGCACAUCUUAACCUUGG
RNAcentral lists this long non-coding RNA (1073 nucleotides) under Homo sapiens (human). RNAcentral describes it as "HSALNT0171700". The record is from RNAcentral. Lineage: Eukaryota; Metazoa; Chordata; Mammalia; Primates; Hominidae.